GACCUUGUCCUCAUCAUAGUCAAGAAGACAAUUAACCAAUCAAACAGACUUGUAUGUUUAGCUAUUAGUUUAUAUAGGAGAGUGAUAGCAACUAUUAGGAGAUUGUGUUAGCAUAUGUAACAAAAUUCCAGCCAAAUGGUUCUACUGUGUGCUGUAAAUUUUAUUUUUUUUCUUCUGAGAUAGGUCAAAAGAUUAUUUAAGAGACUCUAUAUUCUUGUUGACGGCUUUGUUUCAAUGAGAAUCUUCUCCAAUACCAAGUCUUGCAAAGAGAAAUAACAUUGAGAAGCUCCAUUCAAAAGAGAGAAGACUAAUAAAAGGCUUGCUUACAUUGAGAAGCUGCUAAAUACUGAGUCAUAACUUGUAUUGUAAUGUAAUAUUAUUGUGAAUUUCAAUUUAAAAAAAAAAAAUGUAAUAUUAUUGUGAUGUUUAAUAUUUAAAAUUACCAUCAUUAGAAUAUUAACAUAAUAUCUUAUAAUUCUUAUAUUCUUCUUACUGUUAAAUAACACUANNNNNNNNNNNNNNNNNNNNNNNNNNNNNNNNNNNNNNUUAGAGCAUUCCUACAGAGGAAACAAAUGAAAAUAACCUAAGUGUGCAUUAUUACUACAAAUUCACAAAUAUUAAGGUAAGUACAGAAUUGUGUCCAUAAUAGCUCAAUAUGAUCUCUAAGUUGAUAAGAUAUGGUAUGAUGCAAUUUUGACCUUAACAGCUUGAUUUAAUGGCCGACUAACAUGCAUCAAGAAUAUGAAAGCAGAAAAAUACAACAUUCAUAACACAAAUUAAUAUCGGCGAUUUUAAUGAUAUGUUAUCGCUAGAAGAUAAAAUAGACGGAAGUGAGUAACCACAGUGGCUCAUUCGAGGAUAUAGAGAAGCAGUGCAAGAUAGUAGACAUCACCGGAAAUGGAUUUGAUGCAGUAACUGCGUGACACAGUUACUCACCUAGACCGGCUGAUCUUGAAUUGAUAGAUAGGAUGGUUUUUACUUGAUUUUGAUGAUAUGUAAUUUUAACCGCCUGAUUGAUGAACAACGACUCAGAUCUGCUACUGCGGCAAAUAAUUACAGCAGGGAAACCAGGUCCGACAUCACCAUCU
RNAcentral lists this long non-coding RNA (1088 nucleotides) under Trifolium pratense (red clover). RNAcentral describes it as "long non-coding RNA (TPRA_LNC007249)". The record is from RNAcentral. Lineage: Eukaryota; Viridiplantae; Streptophyta; Magnoliopsida; Fabales; Fabaceae.